UACGAAGGGGGCAAGCGUUGUUCGGAAUCACUGGGCGUAAAGGGCGCGUAGGCGGUCCUUCAAGUCAGGCGUGAAAGCCCCGGGCUCAACCUGGGAACGGCGCUUGAGACUGGCGGACUGGAGUUCGGGAGAGGAUGGUGGAAUUCCCAGUGUAGAGGUGAAAUUCGUAGAGAUUGGGAAGAACACCGGUGGCGAAGGCGGCCAUCUGGACCGACACUGACGCUGAGGCGCGACAGCGUGGGGAGCAAACAGG
Molecule: ribosomal RNA, 253 nt
Filed under: uncultured bacterium
Lineage: Bacteria
Description: partial 16S ribosomal RNA
Rfam family: Bacterial small subunit ribosomal RNA
Source: RNAcentral